GUAUGGGUAUCUUGCUGGAGGUUCCUGCCUACCUGAGGCCUUCCAAGGGAACUCCGGGCUGAUGUGGAGAAGGGCAGGGGAAAAUUGCCUCCCGGAUGAGGUAUACGGCAAGAGCAGGUGUUUGGCAGCGAAGAAGGAGGUUGGAGGAAAUCAGAAGUGUUUCAGCCCCUUGAAGCUUUCUGGUACCUGGAAGCCUCCUCACUUCCACCUAGCGUCUUUCACCACUGCCCAUAGCCACCUGAAGUUCACGUAUGUUACAAUAUCAGCUCUCUGAAAGCUUGUGCUCAACCACGCUGCUGUCCAAGCGGGUGUAGCUGGAGGCAACAUCUAUAAGGGAUCAUCUGGAAGAGAUGCUGCAGCGUAGGCUCCUCCAGAGCCUUCAGGACGCAUCAGUAGCGGAGCCAUUUUGGUGCUGUUUGUGCUUCACGGUUGUGUCCUGGGUAAAAACGUGGGUAAAAGCCAUUGGGUCCAUUAUGUCUGAUUCUCCCAGAGGCCAUCUACUGGAGCGCACAGGCUCUAAGGAACGUGGAAGAGAUAACUGGAGGGUAAUAGAGAGGGUUAUUUCUAUGGAAAAAUCCUAGCUCUUUCCUUUUAUUGAAGUCAGUUCAUGAUCAUCUAUAUAAAAGAAAGCUGCGUUCUGAGAGCGCACAUGCAUUUGCAUAUGGCUGGUGUUCUCUUGCAAACUAUUUGAAUAAAAAUAAAAGGAAAAUGAAAAUAGGAGUUUUCACUCAAGGGAAAAGUUAAUGAACUCACUUCUCUUUCUUUCACUCCCUGAUUAAAUAUUAUGUUACCAUUUUGUCUUUGUGCAUGAAGAGUAAAACCCCGCUCUGUAUUUUGCCAGCUUCAUUCAUGAAGCUUUGUAUUAUUUUUACUGCAUUAAAAAAUUAAAAAUGACUCUCACCACGUGAGAAGCAGAAUGGAGAAGAGC
This 928-nucleotide long non-coding RNA is filed under the name Gallus gallus (chicken). Lineage: Eukaryota; Metazoa; Chordata; Aves; Galliformes; Phasianidae. The record is from RNAcentral.